Molecule: ribosomal RNA, 245 nt
Filed under: uncultured Eubacteriales bacterium
Lineage: Bacteria; Bacillati; Bacillota; Clostridia; Eubacteriales
Description: uncultured Clostridiales bacterium partial 16S ribosomal RNA
Rfam family: Bacterial small subunit ribosomal RNA
Source: RNAcentral
UACAUAGGGGGCAAGCGUUGUCCGGAAUUAUUGGGUGUAAAGGGUGCGUAGACGGAGGAGCAAGUUGGCUGUGAAAUCCCUCGGCUUAACUGAGGAACUGCAACCAAAACUACUUCCCUUGAGUGUCGGAGGGGAAAGUGGAAUUCCUAGUGUAGCGGUGAAAUGCGUAGAUAUUAGGAGGAACACCGGUGGCGAAGGCGACUUUCUGGACGAUAACUGACGUUGAGGCACGAAAGUGUGGGGAG